CUUCGGUCGUAAAGCUCUGUCGAGGGAAAGAAGUGUAUUGUGGCUAAUAUCCACGAUACUUGACGGUACCCUAAAGGAAGCACCGGCUAACUCCGUGC
Molecule: ribosomal RNA, 98 nt
Filed under: uncultured bacterium
Lineage: Bacteria
Description: partial 16S ribosomal RNA
Source: RNAcentral